Magnolia sinica is the source of this 429-nucleotide long non-coding RNA. RefSeq lists it as uncharacterized. The transcript has 2 exons. The record is from RefSeq and is a predicted model, not a curated record. Lineage: Eukaryota; Viridiplantae; Streptophyta; Magnoliopsida; Magnoliales; Magnoliaceae.
UUCAGAUUUUGGUGAUCCAAUUGGAAAAUGUGAAAAAUUGUGGAAACGUUGAAAGAGUAUGUAUGUUACAAGUGGGUAGAAGUCCUACUUCUGUAUAUAAAAAUGAUUUGAAACCCUGUGCAUUCUUGUGCAUUAUAUGAGCAUGACAUGAAACAUGCAUUUUCACUGCGCACACGCAUUCACUAGGCUUAGUAGCUCUAGCUUUCCUUUCUAUUUUUUUCAGGUGAGAGUAGGAAGUUGAAGGAGUAGAGGCUACAGACUCUAGUUGUCCUUUUUAUUUUGCACAUAUCACUGUAUAUAUUUUUUUUGUAAUACCCUGAAUAUGUACAUCAGGUAUAGUAAAUAUGACAUGGUUUAUGUUUUGGUUUUGCCUUAAUGUGCUCAGUUGUACACAGUAAUAUAUGUUGAAUAUGAUGAAAAUUUGAGAAA